RNAcentral lists this unclassified non-coding RNA (87 nucleotides) under Pseudomonas salomonii. Lineage: Bacteria; Pseudomonadati; Pseudomonadota; Gammaproteobacteria; Pseudomonadales; Pseudomonadaceae. The record is from RNAcentral.
GUGGGAGCGGGCUUGCUCGCGAAUGCGGUGUGUCAGUCACUUCAUAGCUGACUGAUCUACCGCAUUCGCGAGCAAGCCCGCUCCCAC